Molecule: transfer RNA, 73 nt
Filed under: Halteria grandinella
Lineage: Eukaryota; Ciliophora; Spirotrichea; Sporadotrichida; Halteriidae
Description: tRNA-Phe
Rfam family: tRNA
About the family: Transfer RNA (tRNA) molecules are approximately 80 nucleotides in length.
Source: RNAcentral
GUUUUAGUAGCUCAGUUGGCAGAGCACAGGGCUGAAAACCUUGGGGUCGUUGGUUCGAGUCCAGCUUAAAACA